Molecule: RNA transcript, 5211 nt
Organism: Hydractinia symbiolongicarpus
Lineage: Eukaryota; Metazoa; Cnidaria; Hydrozoa; Anthoathecata; Hydractiniidae
Gene name: SUMO-specific isopeptidase USPL1-like
Exons: 7
Source: RefSeq, a predicted model, not a curated record
GUUGUAUGGUAGUGAGACAUGGGCAGCGAAGCAGGAAGAUCUUGGCCGUUUAGAAAGGAAUGAUAUGAGAAUAGUUAGGUGGAUGUGUAACGCCAGUCUGAGAGACAGAAAGAGUUCAGAUGAGCUAAGAAGCAGGCUAAGUAUCUGUAGAAUUAAAGAUGUUAUCCAGAUAACAAGAUUAAAUUGGCUGGGUACUUGGAAAGAAUGGAGGAGGAUAAUUGGGUAAGAAAGUGUAGAGACUUAAUAGUUCCUGGGGCAAAGCCCAGAGGCAGACCGAGAAAGACUUGGCAGGAGGUUAUAAGGACAGACUUGAUACAGAGGAAGUGGAGUUUAGAUCUAACACAGUCUAGAUCAGAUUGGAAGAGGGUCAUUAAUAUACCCCGUCCAACCCAUGCUAGCAUGGAAAACGGACGUUAAGCCGAGAAUGAUGAUGAUAAUGAUGAAAGACAUUUCAUUCAUUUUCAUAAUUAUUUUUAGAGAUAGAAUUUUCCCACUUUUCAUAAAAAAUGCUCCUCAGAUAACUCCAGCCUUUCUAAUUCACUUCUGCACUCGUGUGAACAAAAAAAGCAAGUAAACAAGAUAUGUCAUCAAUUUUUUCCCAACAUUGAAUGUGAACCAAAAAGUUUUAAUUCAUGCAGAAAUUAAAAUAUCUACAAUAAGCCUUGUUACGCUUAUGCUGGUAUAUAUGGUUGUGUUUUGGAAAAUCUCACUCAAAUAUUUAAAAAUUAAAUAUUUUUUAGGCUCUUUGUUUUCAAAUAUGAUGUCAUUAUCUGUGAUUGAACAUUAUUUAUUCUUAAAAAACCUAAGGUUUUAGCAGACCCAAAACGCUGUUACUAGUUUGUUACAUAUAAAAUGUCAUGUGACGAAGACGUAAUAAAAACAAUUUUAAAGAGUGAGAAUAAUUUUUUUUUUUUUUAAUGAAAUACUAGUGUCUACUCUAAUUGUCAUGUAUUAUUUUAGUGUAUUUUAAUAAUACUUCAAUAUGGUAAUGAUGGCACUUAACCGAUAUUGCAGUGAUUGCAUGAAAAAGGGAGAAUUUUUACCUCUUCGGUUCGUAAUGAUGAAUAUCAGUAGUGGUGUUUGGAUUUGUCCUAAAGAUGAGUGUAUAUUUCCAAUGAACUCUUCAUUAUUGAUGGAUUAUAUUGAAGAUAAUGUGACGUCAGAGAGGGUGUUAAGAUUGACAAGGCCAAGUGUGAAGAAAAAUUCAAUGAAUAAAAAGCUGGGGAAUACACCACCAGGAAAACUUUUAUCAGAGGACCAAUUGAAACCAUUUGCAGAGAUAAGUCCACAAUGGUCAUAUUCAUCUAGAAGUUACACAUCUGGGGAAAGCUCUUCAUCAUUAAAAUCAAAUGAAAGUAAUGACAAUGUUAGCUCUAAAAAGUCGACAAUUUCUUCUGAUAUAGUACUGCAACAGGGACCACAUAUGACAUAUCCCUUGUGGGAAAACGAUGGUUUGCUAUGUUGGUUAGAUGCAGCAUUAGCGAUGCUGGUGCUUAACACAACAUUGCGGGAAACUAAGUCAAAGGAUGAAACCUCCCUAGUCAAUCACCUUAUAAAGGACUACCAAAAACUGUUAAAUGCGUUUAAUUUGCAUGGCGUGUAUACACAGGUGCGUCCACAGCUUCGGGAAUUACGCCAAUGCUUUUUAAAAUUCUUGCAACCAAAACUGUUGUCCAGUGAUGAUCAGGAUGACUCUCCCCUAUUUUUGUUGCCGUUCAUCCUGAAAGCAGACGAAAAACUUUAUGCAGACUUAGAGGUUGAUUUUACGUGCAGAUUUCAUUGCAAUGAGUGUGGAUUUGAGAAGACAGAUGGGUUCAACAAAAUGAUCAUAUCUCUUCCCAACUGCAAUGAAGAUUUAAGCUUCGAUGACAACAUACAUUUUUCAAGAGCGUGCUACCAUUGCUUCAAGGCUGGCCAAAGAACACAAUUUCAUAUCAACAGACAUCCAAAAAUUAUGUUCGUCCAUUUCAAGGAGGGCGUGACAACUCGACAAUUUUGGAAUGAGUUCAACUUUACAGGUCCGGACAACGAUAGGUACAUUGUGACACAAAUUAUACAGUACCUACACAAGAAACGACACUUUGUUUUGUGGUCUUACAGUUUUGAAGAAAAAUUAUGGCUACAAGCUGACGACCUGAAGGAACAUGUGGUAAAUUUUAAGUACAAACAGCCAAGAUGUCGCCCAGAAGAGGUGCAUCUUGUUAUUUGGGAGCGCUUGUCUGUGUUGCAAGCGGUCAUCAAAACAAAGCUAAAAGUAGCUUUACCAAAACUUGAAUUAUCGAGUCCACUGGAUUCUCCGUCUGUGUAUACAAUGUUGAGUAGAAGAUUUGGUGCAAGUCGUUGCUCGAGCAAGACAGCUUCUAUUGUGAGUAGUGAUGGACUGACUCCCUUACAUUCUCCUUCGGGACUAUCGAAAGUUAGUUUGAUUAAAGGCAUGCAGAACGUGCCGAGGUUUCAACCGUACAUGUCGAAGCAAAAAGGGAAACAAAGUUUGAAUAAAUCGAGUCAAAAUCGAAAAGAUACCGGCAGCAAUAAAGUUAAACUAGAGUCUGAUAGAAAUAACGAGUCUGCAACUGAAAGCACUAAGGUCAGCAAUUUUUCAUGCACUUCUUCGCUUGUUUUGACUCUUUCUGAAGCUGUCACAGCGAGUGUACUAAGCAGUGAAAAAAGCAGCGGCGAAACCAACGAUAGUGUUAUCGCAAUGAGCGUAACAAGUAGUUCUAGCAGCGAAACAAACGAUAUUAGAGCGUUACCAAAACGAAUAGAUGUCGAUACAACAGCAGUGUUGAAUCGAGUGAAAGACAUUUUAUCCGUCGAAUUUGAAGAAAUGGAUAUAUUUCCUUCCAAAGACGAGACAAAAACAAUUGAAUCUAGUGACUCAUAUGAAAAUGAUGAGAAUGAAAUUGAUUUUCAAAUGGGAGGUGUUGACGUAAUUAGCGAUAAAUUAUUGGACGAUAUAUUAGAUGGAAAUUUAUGAAAAGUGUUAGCGUACGCGCGGAAACCGGCCUAAUGUGGGGAAGUUCGAUCGAUCACUGUCUGUUACUUGUCUGUUACCCUAUCCACGUUUUUCUUUGAAAAAGGGUUUGUUCUUUAGUGCAAAACUUCUUAUGAUAAAAGACUCCCACAGGACAAGUAUUGCUCACAAACGAUAAUUCUCACAAUAUGAAAAUUUUCAAUUUGCAUUAUUAGAUUCAGAUAUUCCUGUUGUAUAACAAGCUGUUAGUAGCUGUGUAGAAAUAUCUCUCGUUUUUUGUAGUCUAAUCUUCUUGGUGCAGAAUCAAUCAGAAUGAAAACAAAAUCAGUCCCAUAUGCACCCUUUUAUACGCCUCUGAAAUUCGUCCGUCACAGUUAAAAAGCAUCCAAUUUUUGGAACCAAAAGUUUCGCUGGUUGAUGUUUUUUGUGUUUGCCAUUUUUCGCUUUGCGAACAGUAUCUGAUAAAGUGAGAAGUCAAUUACAAUCAUUUUUUGCUAAUUGGUUAAUCUGCUAAUUUUAUUAAAGCAAAAGCGUGUUAAACCAAAGGGGCCUGGACACAAAGAACUUAUAAGUUACAACAAUAAUCAAACUGCCAAAAAGAAAAAGCAUGAGCGGUUAUUAAGGAUUGUGUAUUUUUACUUAUUGUUCAUAAUUAGAAACAGCUGGCUCAUUAAAAACAUUAAUUAGUUAUACUUGACCACGACUAAAACACGCUUUAUUUUUUGUUUGCAAAACAUAUCAAUUAUAUAUUCAUAUUUGUUAAUAUAUUUCGUUAACGUCAAAUCAACUCGCGGUGAUUUGUUUAACUUCAUUAACUUUUAUCUGCCUCUGUUGAAUAUUAGACAUCUGUUUCCGAGAUGCAGCCAAUGAAAAUCGACUUAUUGUGUAUGGUAACCAAUGGAAUCUUUCAAACAUAUAAAUGCCGAAACGUUGCAAUCAAAACAAUACCACUUCUGAAAAUAAAAUAUACACUUUGAAUUUGCUUGUUGUUCGGUAAAUUAUUAAUGGACGACCUGCACUCUGCCGUAGAUAUUUUAACUAAAUGUCAACACAGCUGCAAUAAUCUUGUUUUACCUCCACGAUGAAGAGCGACUCCCAUGCUUUAUCGCUUAAGAUUUUUAAGCGGUUAUUUAAAAAAGCAUGCAAGAUUGUACAGCUGUUGUUAAAAAACACAUUUGCGGUUUUUAAUUGAAGUGAAAAAUGUGCAACGUAUAUUGAUUCACUCGACGCUGUUUUUCGCGCUGGCAGAUGGCGAAUAAAAUACGAGCGCUAUUAAAAAAUGCAUGAUUAGAUAUUAAGCGGGCUUAUUGCCACGCGAUUGUUCUAAUAGAAAGAUGUAUAAAUAGACAUUAAACUAAAAUGGAGCAUAAAAAGCAUUGUGAAGCGUAUUUAUUGAAAAGAGAUACACUUGUGUCAUACUUUAUAGUUCAUUGCAACGAGUAGGUAAAAAGAUUUGUUUCGAAGAGAAGAACAAUGGUUUGGAAGGAGCAAAAAGAUCGAAACAAAACUAACGUAUUUUCAUCGUCUCAAAAUUAUCUAGCAUCAAAGUACUACACACAAACAGAACACGAUUAUACAACUCGCUAUUAUACCCCACCGCAAAAGCACAACAAUAAACCAAGUAGUCAUCAUUUUAAAGAACAAUCUGGCAUAGUUAAAGCAAUAGAACAUAGACUUUCACUUGAAGCAGAAAAAGUUCGAUAUUCUGAUAUUUUUGACACUUUAAAAAUAGACUUGGAAAGCAUACAAUCUUUUAACGAAUUUGCGAGACACUUACACAGAGUAAAUCCAAUUUGUAAUCCGGAUGCUGUGGACACGGCUGAUAAGCUGGUUACUCUACUGGGAAUAUAAUAAUGUCUUAUAAUCAAGGUGUUACGAUUUCUCGUUUACCCAGACAAAAGUCAUCGAAAAACUUCGUUGCGAGCCAUGGUUAGUGUUACCAACCAACGAAAACACUUUCAUAACUGAAGAAAGCAAUUUUCAAUCCUACCCAGACACAAAUGUAAAGUGACUUUCGUGACUACCAGCAAAUUUCCGAACAUUUCCGAUUAUCUUGAUAUAUAUUAUCAGUGAUCAGUGUUUCCCACGAAAUUUCACGGGCUGUGUUCAAUUCUAUUUAUCGUUUGAUAAAACAUUUCUAGAAAUUUUAACUAGUAUAUUGUAUGGGAUACUAUCACAAGGACCAUUAGGUUUUAUUUUAGUUACCCUUAAAAAAAUUGUCAACAAAUUUUACUGAA